UACAGAGGUCCCAAGCGUUGUUCGGAUUCACUGGGCGUAAAGGGUGCGUAGGCGGUCGGGUAAGUCUGGCGUGAAAUCUCCAAGCCUAACUUGGAAACUGCGUUGGAUACUAUCCGGCUCGAGGAAUGGAGGGGAGACUGGAAUACUUGGUGUAGCAGUGAAAUGCGUAGAUAUCAAGUGGAACACCAGUGGCGAAGGCGGCUCACUGGACCAUUACUGACGCUGAUGCACGAAAGCUAGGGGAGCAAACAGG
Molecule: ribosomal RNA, 253 nt
Filed under: uncultured bacterium
Lineage: Bacteria
Description: partial 16S ribosomal RNA
Rfam family: Bacterial small subunit ribosomal RNA
Source: RNAcentral